Taeniopygia guttata (zebra finch) is the source of this 1107-nucleotide non-coding RNA. The record is from RefSeq and is a predicted model, not a curated record. Lineage: Eukaryota; Metazoa; Chordata; Aves; Passeriformes; Estrildidae.
AAGCAAUUCAACUUGCAAAUUUUGGGAACCACAACCUCACCAAUGGUUCCCAGCUGCCCUCAGAACAAGCAAAGGCAUGGAUUUGUCACCCACGCACGGAGCAACAGAAAUCUGCUCAGCUCUGGAAUGGAGCCCAGUGCCUCCUGCACCAGCAUCGCAGUGGGACGAGAGCACCAGAGGGUCCUCGUGGCAGAGCAGCCCCCCGGGGACCCAGCACACACAGUACCUGGCGCAAGAAAAUCCACAGACUCCUCUCCAUCCCACUCGGCGAUGAUCUCCCGGCCAGCCCAGCGCAGAGGCAGGUCUGCGGUGCCUGGAGCUGUGGCAGCCCAGCCCUCCAGCCCUGUGUGACAGGAUACAGUGACAGGGCUCAGCUAAGGGAGCUGUGAGUCCCUGCCAGCACAGCACCAGCAGGGUGCUGCUUUCAGGGGCUCUGUCCCUCCUCCCAACACUCUCUUGAGUCUUGGAAGGGGCCAGCAUUUUGUAACACCCUGCUCCACUUGGGCUCUGCGUUCUCAUGCACUGGAGGGUGGCCUUAACCACCCCCCAUCUAUUUAUUUUCUUAGAUUUGGAGGAAAUUAUUAUCUUUAAACUUUUGCCCCCUGCCUGUGCUGCUACUCUAACAUUACUGUGGGCUGGUGAGCACAGAAAGCCUGAGAAGAAAUGCUGGAGAAGCCCAGAAUAGACAGGGCAUAAUUGCAUUAAGUUGGUUUCCUUAAGAAACCAGUUAAACUCCCCCCUGACUCUGCAGAGUUGGUUAUUUCUUCCAGCCCUGCAGGACAAACACUUGGAAAUCUCUCAAGUGGGCUGUGCUCCGUUAUCAAAUCAUCCCCAGUUUAUACUUUUGCCCAGUUUAGGAAAAUUCCAUCUGAUCCCCUCUCCGCUGUGGACUGGGGAAUGUUUUGGGGAGCGGGGAUUUAGGAGGGCGCUGUGGCUGCAUCUCAGCUCGGAAACUGCCAAACCAGCCCCCAAAGGAGCAGCCCCAAAUUGCCUGUGUGAAGGGUGGAAAAAAAGACUCUGUUUAAAGCCUGGCUCAGUUUCAAGGCCGUAGAAGACAUUCCAGCAGCACAGCAAUUGGCAGCGCGGUUUAAAGGCAAUUAAGACCCA